Molecule: non-coding RNA, 31 nt
Filed under: Rattus norvegicus (Norway rat)
Lineage: Eukaryota; Metazoa; Chordata; Mammalia; Rodentia; Muridae
Source: RNAcentral
UUGGAGUUUUCUAAUGCCACCCGCAAAUCUC